GGGUCGGUGGCGUAGUUGGUUAUCGCAUCUGUCUAACAGACAUAGUACACAGAAGGUCCUCAGUUCGAUCCUGGGCCGACUCA
Molecule: non-coding RNA, 83 nt
Organism: Fomes fomentarius
Lineage: Eukaryota; Fungi; Basidiomycota; Agaricomycetes; Polyporales; Polyporaceae
Source: the annotation of a GenBank genome assembly